This 630-nucleotide long non-coding RNA is filed under the name Homo sapiens (human). Its description in RNAcentral is "non-protein coding lnc-TMEM242-12:1". Lineage: Eukaryota; Metazoa; Chordata; Mammalia; Primates; Hominidae. The record is from RNAcentral.
UAUAAGACAAAUUUUUAAUAUAAUUAUAUACAUGCUUCUUAAUUAUCACACCAAAUGAGAAUACACUUAAGUACAUUUUUUUAUACCAUUUAAUCUCUUCCAUUAACAUUUUAGCUAUAUCACUGUAUUUUUAGAACAACACCAUUCUAGAAGUGUGAAUUUUCUUAGGUCUUAAGUGAACGCCCAGAGUGUUUAUCAUGAGAUCUCUAUUUGCCUGGUCAGUAGUCCAUUUCCCAUCAUGGUGAAACCUCCAGAUUAGAGUCAGUACCCAAGUGGCUCUUUUAUACUAGGCUUCUUGGAAUCUUUCCCUGAGCAUGCACAACUUAGUUUUUAUCCAAGAUUUAUUGCAAUUGACCCCAUGCAAAUUUCUAGGGAUCCUUCAUUGUCCAUCUUUUCCUGACCUACAAAUUCCAGUUGCCUCAGUAUCCCCAAACAUUGAGAUUGUGUCUGUUGUCCAGUGAGAACACUGAUUUCUGUUUUGGCUUCACUUUAAUGUGCUGCACUUUGGAAAAGUGCUUCCAGGCAGAAAACCAGGGUGGAUGUGGAGCUUACCUCAUGAGUUUCCCUUAUCUCAUGGAUCACAGCCUUCUGAUAUGUGUGGCCAAUGGCUGGAAAUAAUUGCCUCGUACA